RNAcentral lists this ribosomal RNA (298 nucleotides) under Laribacter hongkongensis. Its description in RNAcentral is "partial 16S ribosomal RNA". It matches the Rfam family "Bacterial small subunit ribosomal RNA", at positions 312 to 602 of the family's 1533-position model. The record is from RNAcentral. Lineage: Bacteria; Pseudomonadati; Pseudomonadota; Betaproteobacteria; Neisseriales; Aquaspirillaceae.
ACUGGGACUGAGACACGGCCCAGACUCCUACGGGAGGCAGCAGUGGGGAAUUUUGGACAAUGGGGGCAACCCUGAUCCAGCCAUGCCGCGUGUCUGAAGAAGGCCUUCGGGUUGUAAAGGACUUUUGUCAGGGAGGAAAUCCCUAAGGCUAAUACCCUUGGGGGAUGACAGUACCUGAAGAAUAAGCACCGGCUAACUACGUGCCAGCAGCCGCGGUAAUACGUAGGGUGCAAGCGUUAAUCGGAAUUACUGGGCGUAAAGCGUGCGCAGGCGGUUUGAAAAGUCAGCUGUGAAAGCC